GGUCAGAGGAAAACAAGUGGGAGUGUGUUUUUGCUUUCCAUCAUAUGGGUCCCAGGAUUGAAUUCAAAUCAUGGGGCAUAGAAGUGGGUGCUUUUACUUGCUAAGCCAUCCUGCCAGCCCCACAAAGCAGCUUUGCUGAAAGAGACAAAUGAUGGUGUUUUAAAUUAUCUUUUUUAUGGCUAUGCUUACAUAGGAAUAAUAGUUCAGUAUUUAUUAAUUCACAUGGUCUGAUUUUUCAAGAUACUGUUUACUAUUUCAUUUGAGUUUAUAUGAUUUUAUUUUUUAAACUUUUUUUUAGAUUUGUUUAUUUAUUAUGUAUACAGCAUCUGUCUGUGUGCCCGAAGGUCAGAAGAGGGUGCCAGAUCUCAUUACAGAUGGUUGUAAGCCAACAUGUGGUUGCUGGGAAUUGAAUCAGGUCCUCUGGAAGAACAGCUCUUAAUCUCUGAGCCAUCUCUCCAGCCCCAAUUUUCUUAUUUUUUUAUGUGUGUGUGUUCAUGGUUGUAUGUGUGUAGGUUAGAGGAAAAUCCAUGGGAGUCUGUUAUUUCUUUCCACUGUUUGGCUCCAGAGAGAAAACUUAGAUCAUCAGGCUUGGUAGCAAGUGCCUUUGCUUACCAAGCUAGUCUAUCAGCCCCCUCAAUUCUCUUUUAAAUCCAAGUUCAUAGGAGAGUAGUAAGCUACAUUAUUAAACACAGCAAACAUAAACUUAAUUUAAUUCCAGGAAUUAGGGCUGGAGAGAUAGCUCAGUGGUUAAGAGCACUGGCUGCUCUGCUGGAAGACCUAGCUGGGUUCCGUUCUCAUCACCCACAUGGCUACUCACAGCUGUCUAUCUUCAGUACUAGGGAAUCUUGCACCCUCUUCUGGCCCCCGGAGCACUGCACAUGCCUGGUGCAGCACAGGCUUGGUGCAUGGACCUUUUUGCAGUUGUGAUUCUUGGGUGGAAGAGAUGUGAGAUGAUGCCUGAGAAAGGAACCUGCCCCUGCUCAGUCUGACCGUGGAAAGAUGUUGGUGGGCUGGGAAGUGACUUAAUGGCUGAGUGCUUGUCCACACGGACACUGACAAACACGUGGCAGUGCCACUUUGACGGAAUGUGGAGACACCUGAAAUUGGAUCCUUGUGCUCUGACUUACCUCCUUCCAGACACUCAGCGGGCAGUGUGCAUGUCACAGAGAUCUGGAAAGCAAAGACAUCGAGGUGACACCUAACCUGUUUGGAUUCCUGGCAACCCCAAACCUUGCAUGUGUACACACGGCAGAAGGAAGCUCAAGGUUUGCU
This 1272-nucleotide long non-coding RNA is filed under the name Cricetulus griseus (Chinese hamster). RNAcentral describes it as "lncRNA (ENSCGRG00015040950.1)". The record is from RNAcentral. Lineage: Eukaryota; Metazoa; Chordata; Mammalia; Rodentia; Cricetidae.